UUCAUUCGGUGAAAGAUGGAAUGUUCCAUUCAACGAGGCGACAGCCGAGUUGAAUGGAACGUUUCAUCUUUCACCGAAUGAAAAUAUUCUUAC
Non-coding RNA from Paramuricea clavata, 93 nucleotides. The record is from the annotation of a GenBank genome assembly. NCBI's taxonomy places the organism in Eukaryota, Metazoa, Cnidaria, Anthozoa, Malacalcyonacea, Plexauridae.